GACGUAGGGCGCGAGCGUUGUCCGGAUUUAUUGGGCGUAAAGAGCUCGUAGGCGGCUUGUCGCGUCGACUGUGAAAACCCGCGGCUCAACUGUGGGCUGGCUUCCGAUACGGGCAGACUAGAGGUAUGCAGGGGAGAACGGAAUUCCUGGUGUAGCGGUGAAAUGCGCAGAUAUCAGGAGGAACACCGGUGGCGAAGGCGGUUCUCUGGGCAUUACCUGACGCUGAGGAGCGAAAGUGUGGGGAGCGAACAGG
Molecule: ribosomal RNA, 253 nt
Filed under: uncultured bacterium
Lineage: Bacteria
Description: partial 16S ribosomal RNA
Rfam family: Bacterial small subunit ribosomal RNA
Source: RNAcentral